Long non-coding RNA from Acanthochromis polyacanthus (spiny chromis), 1312 nucleotides. RefSeq lists it as uncharacterized. The record is from RefSeq and is a predicted model, not a curated record. NCBI's taxonomy places the organism in Eukaryota, Metazoa, Chordata, Actinopteri, Pomacentridae. The transcript has 3 exons.
GUGAUCUUGCAAAGCAGCUGGUUCCAGGUCCUUGGAUUGAAAAAACAGGCAAAGACAUCGAGGGGCUUCCGAGACAGACACAUGCAAAUGACUGUGGCAUUUUUAUGAUAAUGGUAAGCUUUCAAACAUGGAACUUUCCAAUUAGCUGAACAUAUUUUCAGUACCUGAACCUGUUUAAUGUUUCUGACACAGUACGCCUGGUACCUCAUUCUUGGUGAUCCAUUUGACUUCACUGUUGUAAGUUGAACCGAUAAUUUGAUCGUUACAGUUCCUGUAAGUUUGACAAACUAGUGUGGAUAUUUAAAGUAACAGCAACAUACAUGUACAUGAAGUUAAUCAUUGUGGAUUUGUGGAAUGUGCUCUUCCUAUAAGGACGACACGCCAGUUCUGAGGAGAUGGUGGUGUUCCGUUACUAUGGAAAACCUAAUCCUGGAAGGGCAUGGGAGGAGGUUUGCCCAUUUCACUAAAGAGGGAAAGGACAUGAUUUCUGGCCGUCUUUCACCUGUUUUCUGACUGAAGCAGAAAAGAACAGAUGAUGAAGACACAGACGUAAGAAUAUGUGACAACAACACAAUGAAUGACAUAAUAUGGCGACUUUACAUGUAUGUGUAAUUAAGACCUUCUUCAAAGGACAGUGUUGUCACCAAUAACCCUAACAGGCAGCCUUGGUUUAAGGCCCCCUGAAUGGUCUCACUAGGAAGCACACCAUAGUAUUUGUCAUGUUUGUCCUUUGUUACAUUUUAUUAAGUUUGAACCACCGGUCAUAAGCCUGACACACAAUAAUAAACAGUUACACUAAUAUUAUAAAUCGUACAUCGGCAUUGCCGAUCAGAAACCAAGGGCUAUCUAGAAAUAAUAUCAGAACUAACUGAGAUCUAGACUGUAUUAAAAAAAAUCCCCACAGUUGAACAGAGAUGCAUAUUAUAAUAGAUGAUAUUUGAAGACAUAUUAAGUGUUUUCUUUUUUCAAAUUUCACUUAUUGUCACCAUGAACUUGUGAAACUCUUGCUGCUUGCGUCAGCAGCAUCCUUUACAAACUGACAAAAAAGGGACAUUUGGAAGACCACCGACUAUAUCAAUAAAGAUUUAGUAUAGUUUUGAUAUGUUUAUCUUGGAAUGUUCCAUCUAUUUAGAAUCAUGACUGGGAAGACAAUGAGGGGCUGAAGGUUGGUGAAAAAGUUUGCUUGUUUAUUUGUCUUUUGGUUGAUAGAUUCCAUUUUUUAAAUUAGAAUGUUGACAGGAGCAUGUGCCACUGGAUGCAAUGAGCUCUUAAUCAGCUUUGUUUCUCAGCAGAGCAACACAUAUUAAAAAGG